AACGAACGCUGGCGGCAGGCCUAAUACAUGCAAGUCGAACGGAUGUAGCAAUACAUUAGUGGCGCACGGGUGCCUAACGCGUGGGAACGUACCCUUGAGUAAGGAAUAAUGUCUGGAAACGGACACUAAUACCUUAUAAUGACUUCGGUCCAAAGAUUUAUCGCUCAAGGAUUGGCCCGCGUCUGAUUAGCUAGUUGGUGAGGUAACGGCUCACCAAGGCGACGAUCAGUAGCUGGUCUGAGAGGAUGAUCAGCCACACUGGGACUGAGACACGGCCCAGACUCCUACGGGGGGCAGCAGUAAGGAAUAGUGGACAAUGGAGGAAGCUCUGUUCCAGCCAUGCCGCGUGAGUGAAGAAGGCCUUAGGGUUGUAAAGCUCAUUCAAUGGUGAAGAUAAUGACGGUAGCCAUAGAAGAAGCCCCGGCUAAAUUCGUGCCAGCCGCCGCAGUAA
RNAcentral lists this ribosomal RNA (451 nucleotides) under uncultured bacterium. RNAcentral's name for it is "partial 16S ribosomal RNA". It matches the Rfam family "Bacterial small subunit ribosomal RNA", at positions 29 to 523 of the family's 1533-position model. The record is from RNAcentral.